AAGUGACACAGUGCAGACAUGUCGCGCGCAGUCCGGUUGAUAUCUGACUGGCCCUGGUACAUACGCUCGUUUGUUACGAUAUCCACGUAAAAUUUGAUCGAUGUCGAUUAAAAUUCGUAGUCUUUAGGUUGCUGAUACAAAAGACACAGUUGUACGUUCUAUUGGUGGAGUUCUACAAGUGAACUUUACAUAUUCAUCACGCGACGACAGAAUCACCACGGAACUGUACCAAUUUAAAACAUUUAAGCUUGUUUUCCCUAAAAUCGUGAUCCUGGAGUUACGCCAUUGUUUUAGCAAAUGAGCGAUACGUACAUACUCUCGGUCAUAAAUGUUAGAACUAUUAAUUUCAGGCGAGACAAUAAAAAUUGAUCUGGGUAAUAGGACGACUAAUCGAUCACAAAAAUUUGGGAAAGUCAUUGGCAAAAGUUAUAGAAAAAUAUAAUAAGUUUGGGAUCUCAUACCCCUCGCGAUCUUAUGAUUCGGACCACCCUUAAAAAUGUAUUGAGAUUCGAGAUAAGGAAUAAGGUGGACUAUUAUACGUGUUGGUUUAUUAAAGAGACGAGUGAUAAAAUUGUAAUAGUCGGUGUAUAUCACUUUGACUGCCACGCCAAAAUCACACGUUUCGCUCAGGACGCCAUAGGAGUAUUUUUAUUAUUCAAAGCAUAUAAUGGCAAAAUAAUAAUAAAUCGAUGGUGUAAAACAACAUUCUUCCCCAAUGGACCGUUUAUCUUAUUGGUGAUCACGGGUGACCAUCGUGGCGUCUUGGUAACAGUUGAUAGCGACAUAUUAUAACGAGGCUUCGUUUAUUUCAACAAACCAUUGGCAUUCGUUACUUCGUCGUAAGCAAAACGUGCAGAAUAUAUUGUUGAAACGUGUAGAAGAUAUUAGUAAACGGUAUUUGCUCGUUCUAUAUGUAUUAGUAAGGUAUGUUCACACUUCUAACUUCAAUUAUACGAUUAUAAAGCAGCAUUUACGAUUAUUUUCUAAGCUGUGUUUAUAAUAAUAUUCGUAGAUUACCCCUCGAAGAUAUGGAUGCAAACACAGUGCACAGUUAGAUGCAAGAUUUGUUCUCAUUUUUUUUAUCGAUGUUCUAAUAAAAAUGUUUAAUUGUUCAAUGGGGCACUUUUUAUUUCAAAGUAUCUUCUAUUUAUCGGUUAUAUUCAAAAUGCCCUAACUGUCAAUUUUCAUACAAUUUUUACAGUUGUAAGGAGCUCAAGCGCUCCGGUGACCACUGUGGCGUCAUAGGAAAAACCGUGGCCGGUCAUAUAUGAUCAACGUGGCAGUCAAAGUGUUACAAUCGCUUUAAAUACAAAAUACAGAGGUAGUUUAUGCCGCUGGUAAUCGUCGCUGGCUCAAUGCUACUGUUCAACUCUACGCUCGCUAUUCGACUGUAUGACUCAGUAUAAUGAUCGUCCUGGAGAGCACAUUCGUCUGUUUGUAUCGACCGACGGUAUUGUAAAAAGUUUGAAUAUAACUCCGGUUGACGAUUACAAACAACAGCGAUGAUAUUUUGUCCGGAGUUCGUUUACCUUUAAACAUAGCAAACCAAAACAACGUUGGCACUCCAAGGCACAAUAACGUGAGUCUCUCUCGAUUGGAAUUUUCCAUUGACUCAUGUGCCGCUACAAAUGGAAUAUUUAACAAUACAAAUGCCAAAGUUAAAGGAAACAGAGUUGGAGAAAAAAUAUUGAAUUUUAUCACUUAUAAAAUUCUUAUUACAUUAUAGAACAUGUGGAUUCUCCCCUGCCCGUACUUCCAUCGACAUAGCCACAAAAGCUUUAGCAAGACCCUAAUGAUUUUUCAUACAUGUUCGUAUUUUAUUAACCUUCACGUAAAAUGUAUCCCUUGCUUCAUGCGAUUCAGUGAAUUCUGAUUGUAAGAAUUUAGUACGAAAGUGAUAACUAUCGGAAGGAAAUACGACACGAUUCAAACACUCGAAUGCGGUGCGAGUGCAACAGAAUUAGUAAAUAUACACGGCGCUGCAAGAGUCGCAAACACGGACAUUAAAACACAAAAACAUGAUACAUGAAAAUUAUGCGAAGCACGUAGAUUCCAUGGCAACGGUAGGAAAGCUACAAAUAUAUUGAUUGUGUAAAUGAUUUUACACAAAUGGGAACAGCAAACGAAAGUGAUAAUGAUACGAUGGCUUCUCAUGCCGAAGUAUUCGUGGAAUUUGAAAAGGAGCUGGGAAGGUUCGAAAUACAAAAUAAAUCUAAUUCAAUAUAGUUACUUGUGUUGAAAGAAUUACGUGGUCUAACAGCCAAAGAGAGCGAAAUACAUACAUUAAAAAACAAAACUAGCAGUAGUUUGUUCGUUUCAGCUUACUAGCCCAGAAAUUCGACUUGGUUACAUAGGUUACGAUAUAUACAUUAUGUUUAUAAUUCGUUGCCGAACCUGCCUUACGUAAUUAUUUAUUUCCUUGCUUUCUAUUCUGAAAUUGCCUUUGGUUUGUUAUAAAACACUUUUCUUUUUUAAAACUAACUGAAACUAUUUCAUUG
Bombus huntii is the source of this 2498-nucleotide long non-coding RNA. RefSeq lists it as uncharacterized. Lineage: Eukaryota; Metazoa; Arthropoda; Insecta; Hymenoptera; Apidae. The transcript is spliced from 3 exons. The record is from RefSeq and is a predicted model, not a curated record.